ACUCAAAUGAAUUGACGGGCACCCGCACAAGCGGUGGAGCAUGCUGUUUAAUUCGAAGCUACGCGAAGAACCUUACCUAGACUUGACAUCCCCGGCAAAGCUAUAGAAAUAUAGUGGAGGUUACCCGGGUGACAGGUGGUGCAUGGUUGUCGUCAGCUCGUGUCGUGAGAUGUUCGGUUAAGUCCGAUAACGAGCGCAACCCUCGUCACUAGUUACUAACAUUAAGUUGAGCACUCUAGUGAGACUGCCGGUGACAAACCGGAGGAAGGUGGGGAUGACGUCAAAUCAUCAUGCCCCUUAUGUCUAGGGCUACAGGCGUGCUACAAUGGCCAUUAUAAUGAGAUGCUAUAUCGUGAGGUUGAGCUAAUCUUUAAAGAUGGUCUCAGUUCGGAUUGGAGUCUGCAACUCGACUCCAUGAAGUUGGAAUCGCUAGUAAUCCUAAAUCAGAAUGUUAGGGUGAAUACGUUCCCGGGUGUUGCACACACCGCCCGU
RNAcentral lists this ribosomal RNA (492 nucleotides) under uncultured bacterium. RNAcentral describes it as "bacterial SSU rRNA". It matches the Rfam family "Bacterial small subunit ribosomal RNA", at positions 899 to 1397 of the family's 1533-position model. The record is from RNAcentral.